CCUACGGGCGGCAGUCGAGAAUCUUUCGCAAUGGGCGAAAGCCUGACGAAGCGACGCCGUGUGAGCGAAGAAGGCCUUCGGGUUGUAAAGCUCUUUCGCUAGGGAACAAGGGAAGCAGGAUAAUACCCUGCUGACUUGAGGGUACUUGGUAAAGAAGCACCGGCUAACUCCGUGCCAGCAGCUGCGGUAAUACGGAGGGUGCAAGCAUUGAUCGGAAUGAGCGGGCGUAAGGGCGGGGUAGGCAGACGUGAAAUGCCGGGGCUCAACCCCGGAGCUGCAUUUGAAACUUCUUGGCUAGAGGAUGGUUAGGGAAAACGGAAUUCCACGUGUAGCGGUGAAAUGCGUAGAUAUGUGGAAGAACACCGGUGGUGAAGACGGUUUUCUGGGCCAAACCUGACGCUGAGGCGCGAAAGCUAGGGGAGCAAACAGGAUUAGAUACCCCAGUAGUC
This 449-nucleotide ribosomal RNA is filed under the name uncultured bacterium. Its description in RNAcentral is "partial 16S ribosomal RNA". It matches the Rfam family "Bacterial small subunit ribosomal RNA", at positions 338 to 795 of the family's 1533-position model. The record is from RNAcentral.